GUUCCAUAAGACAUUUUCAUUUGACUGUUUAGUACAUCGAGCACUAAACCAAACAUAUUAGAAAGUCGUAUGAUUGAUCACUUAAAAAAAAGAUCUGUUCUCAAAUGUAGACUUUAGUGAACAGAGACCAGAUUCACUCUCUCUCUCAUAAUCAUCACUCGAUAUUUAGUCCAUAGAUUCUUAUGAACAUGCUGAUCUGAGUUAG
This is a non-coding RNA of Pelobates cultripes (western spadefoot toad), 205 nucleotides long. NCBI's taxonomy places the organism in Eukaryota, Metazoa, Chordata, Amphibia, Anura, Pelobatidae. The record is from the annotation of a GenBank genome assembly.